CUGGGAUUACAAGUAUGAGUCCCUGCACCUGGCUCAACUACUCUGGUUUAUACAGUGAUAAUGGCCUAUUGUGGUAGCCUUUUCUCUUGAGGAUUUUGUUUACUGUGUAGAGUGAAUUGAAAAAAUAAUUGGAUUUUGUCAACAUGGAGGGAAGAACACUUUUUGUGGGCACCACCUUUAUGUGCCUCGCAGGGUACCACAGGAUGAUAGCAAACAUUUCUUUUGACCUGAUUUGCCCUGUUGCCCUAGGCCUGCUAAAAAAGAUUGAAGUUUGUGUGCCUAGUUCUAUGACCUGGAUGUCAAGAUUUCCUGUGAGCCCAGUGUUCAUUCUGAAGAGGGCAUUGUUGAUGUGAAAGUCUCCAGUGCUUCUGGAAGCAACAUGAGUUGGGUCCCUUGACUAUCACAUACUACCCAGCACUGUUGAGAGAUUGCUGUCUUUUGGACCUUUACAAGAGCCAGUCCCUGAUAUUCAGAUUCCCAUAGGUCUCCCUGGGCAGUUGACCUUCUGGCUAUCACUGCAUAAACAGGAACCUCAGCAUGGACAGAAGAGAGAUCCAGGGAUGGGGCUUCCGUAACCCAGCCAGCAUUGCUAGUGAUGAAGAUGGUCUUGGACUUUAAUGCUCUCCAGUUUUUGCUGAUAUUGAGGCAAAACUCACUUUCCUAAAUUGUAGGUAGAGCCAAAAUAGUUGGCAGAUGUAACUUUCCAAAAAUAGUACGUACUGAUUUUUGUGGGGAACAUUUAGUUCUCAGCAGCUUUCUUGAGGUAUGAUUAACAUGCAAUAAACUGUAAACAUGUAAAGUA
Molecule: long non-coding RNA, 802 nt
Organism: Carlito syrichta (Philippine tarsier)
Lineage: Eukaryota; Metazoa; Chordata; Mammalia; Primates; Tarsiidae
Exons: 2
Source: RefSeq, a predicted model, not a curated record